GAAAAGUUGAGCCGAUCUGCCACGUGUGUUCAUUGUCCUCCCAUCCCCUGCAGUCCUUUUUAAAGAAAUGACGUUGAAAAUAAGGAUAGCCUUUUAUGUCAACUUAUGUUAGCGUUAUUAGGUCGAGAAGUUAUCUAAUUUAUAUUUUUGGUAUCACACUAGUCUACUGUUGUUGAGAUCUUUAUAUACAUGGAGAAGCUUGCCUUGAUGAGUUAAAUUAUUGUUGCAUUUUUUAACCUUGAUUUUAAUGUAUCUGUAUUAAAAUUCACAGAAGGUGUUAGAAGAAAACAGAAGUAUGAUUUGCUAGUGAUUAAUGCUUAAACAAGCUUUACAAAGUCAGAGUGUAUAAAAAUCUUAUAGUUCACAACUAAAAUUAUUCAAUUAACUUGGAAUUUAAUUUACCAAGGUACUUGUAUAAAUAAGCAGAAUUUCAGCUAGCAUAGAAGUUCAU
This is a long non-coding RNA of Phyllostomus discolor (pale spear-nosed bat), 451 nucleotides long. RefSeq lists it as uncharacterized. The transcript has 2 exons. The record is from RefSeq and is a predicted model, not a curated record. Lineage: Eukaryota; Metazoa; Chordata; Mammalia; Chiroptera; Phyllostomidae.